AAAAAAGAAAAAAAGAAGUCUUCAUGGAGCUGGAGAAUGAAUGGUGAAACAGCCACAAGGCAUGCUAGCAUGCUGUUCAUACUGAAAUUCAGUUGUUCUUAAAUAUUCCCUGAGCUGCUAAAAGCUUAUAGUUAGUAUUCAGAGUCAGAAAAACCUGAUUCUGACAGUUUUUGUUUUGUUUUGUUUGCCAGAUUUUUAUUGCUUUUAUAGAGCAGAGAAUUUUCAGAGAUCUUAUGCCACCAUUUUUGGCAUUUUUGGCAGGGUGAUAACUCCCUGCUAUUUGUAACCUCACCCAGGGAUUGGCCAGAGCAGCAAGGACUAACCCUUUGUAGUUAAAUUAAUUCUUUCAUUUAAUGGAACCAGCUUUGCUGGUGUGAGUACGUUAAAAUCAUAGAACCUCGAUUUAAAAGAUAUCCUGAUAUUCAAAUUGCUUUUUGAAAUCUUUUUGUCUUAACCAUAAAGUAUGAUAAUAUUCUGAAGUCAUUCAGUGAACUUAUAUCUGAAUCCUAUUAAGUGGCUACAAGUAUAUACUAUUUCUUUGUGUUGCUAAAACAGAGUCUAAGCAGCCUUCUAUAAUUGUACCUUUACAAAUAUUGAGCAUUUUUAGAUAUUAGCCUCCCCACAUCACUGUCUUUUUAUUGUAUUGAACCCCCAGAUUUGCUUUUGAUUAACAGUCAAACCUUUAAAAAGUCCUCUGAGAGAAACAAAACCUGAAAAUGUGAGAUUGAAAUGAAAUGAUUUAAAAUAGUAUUUGGGCAUUUACGUGUCCACUGGUGCCACAAUAUAUCUGAACAUUGAAUGGAAUUCAGAACUCCAUGAAAAAGAGCUGAUGUCCAAAGAGUUGAUGUCACACAGCAUAUGGCCUGAUUGGCACAGAAGUUGGAGCUGGACAGUUGAUUCUCCAUUCUGCUCUGGUGGAGGCUGUACUUCUAAAAGCGAGCUCUUCAAACUUACAUCUCAAUUACUCUUAACAGGGACAGUUAGAAUUUUCUUUCUCAAAUUAAAGGUUUGAGAAAUCCCUGAUAAGAUGUACUGUUCCCUCAAGUUUAUUUUAAUUGUAAUUUUUGUUUACUGUCAGCCUUCAUCCAGCUUUGACGACUUAGAUUCUCAUAAAAACUCCAAAGUUAACGCGAUAAUUAUGUUCUGCAUUGGUGGUGCUAUCCUGUUGGCCAUGCUCGUUCUGAUGGCCGUCGUCAUCUGUCUUUACUACAAAGUAGCCAACGCACUGAACAUGCCAAAGGUACCUGUUUGUUUGGCCUUAAAAAGUAAUCCAGCUGUGGUCACCCCGGACAAGGUCAGUGCAGCCCUCACCGCUGGGUCUUACCCCAGCCUCCAGUGCUGUGACGAAUGUAACUUGUAUCCUGGCUUCGAUGCCCUGCCUCCGUGCUGCUGUAAUGUAAACGAGGGGCUCUGACUUGGGUUUCCCAUGAGGCUUUGAAGAUCUGGGAAACAGACGAAGCACAUGGUAGCUCACAGAGCAGUCCUGAGGGGUUCCUGUAAUUGUUGCUCAGGCUCUCAUUUGCAAGCUUAAUCCAAACUCAACAAAGCCAAGGCCCAAUUUGUUUUCUUUGAAACAGACAAAUAAAGCUCAUUUUGUG
Odocoileus virginianus texanus is the source of this 1598-nucleotide non-coding RNA. The record is from RefSeq and is a predicted model, not a curated record. NCBI's taxonomy places the organism in Eukaryota, Metazoa, Chordata, Mammalia, Artiodactyla, Cervidae.